This 309-nucleotide ribosomal RNA is filed under the name uncultured Micavibrio sp. RNAcentral's name for it is "bacterial SSU rRNA". It matches the Rfam family "Bacterial small subunit ribosomal RNA", at positions 147 to 490 of the family's 1533-position model. Lineage: Bacteria; Pseudomonadati; Bdellovibrionota; Bdellovibrionia; Bdellovibrionales; Pseudobdellovibrionaceae. The record is from RNAcentral.
CGUAGAGAAAUUUACGCUAAUACCGCAUAAUGACUCCGGUCCAAAGAUUUAUCGCCUAAGGAUUAGCCCGCGUCUGAUUAGAUAGUUGGUGAGGUAACGGCUCACCAAGUCGACGAUCAGUAGCUGGUCUGAGAGGAUGAUCAGCCACACUGGAACUGAGACACGGUCCAGACUCCUACGGGAGGCAGCAGUGAGGAAUAUUGCGCAAUGGAGGAAACUCUGACGCAGCCAUGCCGCGUGAGUGAAGAAGGCCUUAGGGUUGUAAAGCUCUUUCAAUUGUGAAGAUAAUGACGGUAGCAAUACAAGAAG